Non-coding RNA from Python bivittatus (Burmese python), 233 nucleotides. The record is from RefSeq and is a predicted model, not a curated record. NCBI's taxonomy places the organism in Eukaryota, Metazoa, Chordata, Lepidosauria, Squamata, Pythonidae.
AGUCUGUUAUGAUGGGACAUCCAGGCAUGCCUCACUACCCACCCAUGGGAAUGCAUCCUAUGGGCCAAAGGCCACCCAACAUGCCUCCAGGAUCUCAUGGAAUGAUGCCUCAAAUGAUGCCCCCAAUGGGAGGACCACAAAUGGGACAGAUGCCUGGAAUGAUGCAGUCAGUGAUGCCCGGAAUGAUGGCACCUCAUAUGUCUCAUGGUCCCAUGCAGCCAACCGGACCGGUA